Molecule: RNase P RNA, 398 nt
Filed under: bacterium SCGC AG-212-C10
Lineage: Bacteria
Description: Bacterial RNase P class A
Rfam family: Bacterial RNase P class A
About the family: Ribonuclease P (RNase P) is a ubiquitous endoribonuclease, found in archaea, bacteria and eukarya as well as chloroplasts and mitochondria.
Source: Rfam by way of RNAcentral
CCAGUGGGCCAGGUGGCCGCUGCGGCGCGCGAGCGUCGUAGAGGAAAGUCCGGACUCCGCCGGGCAAGGGUGCCGGGUAACUCCCGGGCGGCGUGAGCCGACGGAAAGUGCAACAGAAACAUACCGCCAGCGUGGGUUCGCCUGCGCCGGUAAGGGCGAAAUGGUGCGGUAAGAGCGCACCGGGGUCCUGGUAACAGGGCCGCCGUGCAAACCCCACCCGGAGCAAGGCAAAAUAGGGGAGGAGGGGCGCCCGGCCCGUUUGUACUCCCGGGUCUGCCGCUAGAGCGUCACGGUAACGUGGCGUCGAGAGAAAUGGCCAUCCCGCUGGCUGCUAGCUGCUAGCUUCUAGCUGCUAGGAGCCGGCGUGACAGAAUCCGGCUUAUCGGCCCACUGGAUCG